This 468-nucleotide ribosomal RNA is filed under the name uncultured bacterium. RNAcentral's name for it is "partial 16S ribosomal RNA". It matches the Rfam family "Bacterial small subunit ribosomal RNA", at positions 28 to 507 of the family's 1533-position model. The record is from RNAcentral.
GACGAACGCUGGCGGCGUGCUUAACACAUGCAAGUCGAACGGAAAGGCCCUGCUUUUGUGGGGUGCUCGAGUGGCGAACGGGUGAGUAACACGUGAGUAACCUGUCCUUGACUUUGGGAUAACUUCAGGAAACUGGGGCUAAUACCGGAUAGGAGCUCCUGCUUCAUGGUGGGGGUUGGAAAGAUUUGGCGGUUGGGGAUGGACUCGCGGCUUAUCAGCUUGUUGGUGGGGUAGUGGCUUACCAAGGCUUUGACGGGUAGCCGGCCUGGGAGGGUGACCGGCCACAGUGGGCCUGGGAUACGGCCCAGACUGCUACGGGAGGCAGCAGUGGGAAAUAUUGCACAAUGGGCGGAAGCCGGAUGCAGCAACGCCGCGUGCGGGAUGACGGCCGUCGGGUUGGAAACCGCGUUCGCCUGUGACGAAGCGUGAGUGACGGUAAUGGAUAAAGAAGCACCGGCUAACUACGUG